This is a non-coding RNA of Danionella cerebrum, 73 nucleotides long. The record is from the annotation of a GenBank genome assembly. NCBI's taxonomy places the organism in Eukaryota, Metazoa, Chordata, Actinopteri, Cypriniformes, Danionidae.
GGGGUUAUAGCUCAGCUGGGAGAGCGCCUGCCUUGCACGCAGGAGGUCAACGGUUCGAUCCCGUUUAACUCCA